UCACCCUACGGGGGGCAGCAGCCGCGGUAAUCCGUAGGUGGCAAGCGUUAUCCGGAAUUAUUGGGCGUAAAGAGCGCGCAGGUGGUUAAUUAAGUCUGAUGUGAAAGCCCACGGCUUAACCGUGGAGGGUCAUUGGAAACUGGUUGACUUGAGUGCAGAAGAGGGAAGUGGAAUUCCAUGUGUAGCGGUGAAAUGCGUAGAGAUAUGGAGGAACACCAGUGGCGAAGGCGGCUUCCUGGUCUGCAAUUGACACUGAGGCGCGAAAGCGUGGGGAGCAAACAGGAUUAGAUACCCGAUAGUCCGGG
Molecule: ribosomal RNA, 305 nt
Filed under: uncultured bacterium
Lineage: Bacteria
Description: bacterial SSU rRNA
Rfam family: Bacterial small subunit ribosomal RNA
Source: RNAcentral